RNAcentral lists this small RNA (125 nucleotides) under Marmota monax (woodchuck). The record is from RNAcentral. Lineage: Eukaryota; Metazoa; Chordata; Mammalia; Rodentia; Sciuridae.
GUCGGGCAUGGUGGUGCACACCUGUAAUCCCAGUGGCUCAGGAGGCUGAGACAGGAGGAUUGUGUGUUCAAAGCCAGCCUUAGCAACAGUGAGGUGCAAAGCAACUUAGUGAAACCCUGUCUCUA